GGCCCCGUAGUUCAACUGAAUAGAAUAUCAGAUUUCGGCUCUGAGGGUUGCAGGUUUGAAUCCUGCCGGGGUCACGA
Molecule: transfer RNA, 77 nt
Filed under: Flavobacteriaceae bacterium
Lineage: Bacteria; Pseudomonadati; Bacteroidota; Flavobacteriia; Flavobacteriales; Flavobacteriaceae
Description: tRNA-Arg
Rfam family: tRNA
About the family: Transfer RNA (tRNA) molecules are approximately 80 nucleotides in length. Their secondary structure includes four short double-helical elements and three loops (D, anti-codon, and T loops). Further hydrogen bonds mediate the characteristic L-shaped molecular structure. tRNAs have two regions of fundamental functional importance: the anti-codon, which is responsible for specific mRNA codon recognition, and the 3' end, to which the tRNAs corresponding amino acid is attached (by aminoacyl-tRNA synthetases). tRNAs cope with the degeneracy of the genetic code in two manners: having more than one tRNA (with a specific anti-codon) for a particular amino acid; and 'wobble' base-pairing, i.e. permitting non-standard base-pairing at the 3rd anti-codon position.
Source: RNAcentral